Molecule: ribosomal RNA, 554 nt
Filed under: uncultured bacterium
Lineage: Bacteria
Description: partial 16S ribosomal RNA
Rfam family: Bacterial small subunit ribosomal RNA
Source: RNAcentral
UAGGGAAUCUUCCACAAUGGACGCAAGUCUGAUGGAGCAACGCCGCGUGAGUGAAGAAGGUCUUCGGAUCGUAAAGCUCUGUUGUUGGUGAAGAAGGAUAGAGGCAGUAACUGGUCUUUAUUUGACGGUAAUCAACCAGAAAGUCACGGCUAACUACGUGCCAGCAGCCGCGGUAAUACGUAGGUGGCAAGCGUUGUCCGGAUUUAUUGGGCGUAAAGCGAGCGCAGGCGGAAUGAUAAGUCUGAUGUGAAAGCCCACGGCUCAACCGUGGAACUGCAUCGGAAACUGUCAUUCUUGAGUGCAGAAGAGGAGAGUGGAACUCCAUGUGUAGCGGUGGAAUGCGUAGAUAUAUGGAAGAACACCAGUGGCGAAGGCGGCUCUCUGGUCUGCAACUGACGCUGAGGCUCGAAAGCAUGGGUAGCGAACAGGAUUAGAUACCCUGGUAGUCCAUGCCGUAAACGAUGAGCGCUAGGUGUUGGGGACUUUCCGGUCCUCAGUGCCGCAGCAAACGCAUUAAGCGCUCCGCCUGGGGGGUACGACCGCAAGGUUGAAAC